CGUAGGAGCCCGUCCAUAAAUGCAGAACAGCAGCUGUGGGAGGCCUGGAAACUGAGUUUUGGAAGGAUUCAGUAUCGGACAAACAUCACUCCAGGGGAACACAGCAGAGGUGUAGUUCCAGCCUAUCUGUCCAGCUCUAGUCCAACCUUCUCUGCUGUCCAUGGUUUUGAAAGUCUUCUGCUCCGGGUGACCAGCAUAGAAAGCUCUUGCUAGCUGGUGAUGGAAGUGUGCUGGAGCAAUGGGAGAAGCUGGUAACUUCUAGGAAGCCAAGAUGACCAGAAUUGUUUUAGAUCAUCAGUAAGUAAAAUUUUCUUAGCCCAUUGGAAGUCUUUUGAUUACCAGUAAACGUUCUCUGAGAAACCACAGUAAAAGAGUAGCUCAAUCAAACAGCUAAAAAGUCUGAAUGAGAAAAUGUUUAAAAAAUAAAUAUCCAGACACUUCAAAAAAU
This 448-nucleotide long non-coding RNA is filed under the name Ursus maritimus (polar bear). RNAcentral describes it as "lncRNA (ENSUMAG00000011289.1)". The record is from RNAcentral. Lineage: Eukaryota; Metazoa; Chordata; Mammalia; Carnivora; Ursidae.